RNAcentral lists this ribosomal RNA (310 nucleotides) under Klebsiella pneumoniae. RNAcentral describes it as "partial 23S ribosomal RNA". It matches the Rfam family "Bacterial large subunit ribosomal RNA", at positions 910 to 1218 of the family's 2925-position model. Lineage: Bacteria; Pseudomonadati; Pseudomonadota; Gammaproteobacteria; Enterobacterales; Enterobacteriaceae. The record is from RNAcentral.
CUGUUUCGACUAGGAGGUCAUCCCGACAUACAAACCCGAUGCAAACUACGAAUACCGAAGAAUGUUAUCACGGGAGACACACGGCGGGUGCUAACGUCCGUCGUGACAAGGGAAACAACCCAGACCGCCAGCUAAGGUCACAAAGUCAUGGUUAAGUAGGAAACGAUGUGGGAAGGCACAGACAGCCAGGAAGUUGGCUUAGAAGCAGCCUUCAUUUAAAGAAAGCGUAAUAGCUCACUGGUCGAGUCGGCCUGCGCGGAAGAUGUAACGGGGCUAAACCAUGCACCGAAGCUGCGGCAGCGACACUAUG